This is an RNA transcript of Oryzias latipes (Japanese medaka), 704 nucleotides long. RefSeq lists it as uncharacterized. NCBI's taxonomy places the organism in Eukaryota, Metazoa, Chordata, Actinopteri, Beloniformes, Adrianichthyidae. The record is from RefSeq and is a predicted model, not a curated record.
CUGCCUCGCACUUUCACCGGCUUCCAAAGCUCAAUGUUGGAGGGGGGGUCGCCGUCCACGCUCAGAGAGAGCUGCAGGUUCUUGCAGCUCACACAAGUGGGAUUCUGGUUGAACAGAAGACCCGCCCACCCGAGCCAGAUCCUGGUUCGGAUGAACCGUAGAGGCCAACCUGUGUUCUGGUGGAGCUCGUGAGCUCGAUUCCUGCCGGUUCGUGAUGGCUUUACAUAAGCGGAACGGCACAGACGAACUGUUUGACUUUAGGAGAGCAUCUCCAGCUCUGAAGAGCCUUCAAAUGGAACCAGAAGCGCUGUUCCUCCGCAGCUCCCUUGGAGAACGCAGGUGCUUACCGCUGCUCAUCUAUGUGGCGCCGCAGCGACGAAAGGCCAAAAGGACGUUAAAAAAAGGUAAAAAAAGAGCGGCGAGGACCAGGAACCUCCGCUGCCUUCUGAGAGGGGCACUUGUGAGGCUGCACGCUCUCCCACUUCUCCAUCAAACUCCAGCCGUGCGACCGCUUCAUCACCUGAAACGGAGCUGAAGGGCGCCCCAGAGGCUCCGGCGUCUCCGCCUGCUUUGGCCUCGGGGCCGCCGUCAGAGGUGAGCAGGAAGAGGCGGAGCAAGAGAUGUUUGUAGACCUGAAAACGACUCCACAUCCUUUAUUCAGAGGAAGAGCAGAGUGGAGCUUGUUGGAACUCACCGGCAGUGAC